Molecule: transfer RNA, 70 nt
Filed under: Marmota monax (woodchuck)
Lineage: Eukaryota; Metazoa; Chordata; Mammalia; Rodentia; Sciuridae
Description: tRNA.Thr
Source: RNAcentral
GGGUUGCUGCUCAGUGGUAGAGCACUCGCCUAGUAUGUGUGAGGCCCUGGGUUUGAUCCUCAGCACCACA